AAAAGACGUUCCUUCCAAUUUUUCCAAUUUCGAAGCGAGCUAUCCGAUUCAUACAAAUAGUUCCUACCCACUAGCAGGCCCUAAACGAAUCGCUCUCAUUUUCUCCUUCCUUUUUUCAAGUUUCAACUAUUUCUUCUAGCAGAACCACCAAAAAGGAAAAUUUCAUAUUAACAGUUAUUAUGUUGCUGAUAAGCAAAAUAAGUAAAUAGUGGUGAAAGAUAAUUAGUGAAGUACGUACAUGAACAAUAAAAUCGAUUAAUACAAUUCAGGAUAUUCAGAAAUGUAUAUACAGUAAAUAUUCGAUGUGUGCACCAUUCUCGGGUCUGAACUGGUGCAAAUAUCGUACAGGUUCUACAUUGAUUGAUGUUUUGCCGAACGUAGAAAAGCACAGCGAACGAAGGAUACCAAAUAUUAGCAGAAACAAAUGAAGACCAAAAGAACCAUAAUGCUAUAUUAAACGGCAGAAUCACCAAAAUCAUAGUAUUUAUUCCUGUGUGCA
Megachile rotundata (alfalfa leafcutting bee) is the source of this 499-nucleotide long non-coding RNA. RefSeq lists it as uncharacterized. Lineage: Eukaryota; Metazoa; Arthropoda; Insecta; Hymenoptera; Megachilidae. The record is from RefSeq and is a predicted model, not a curated record.